This is a long non-coding RNA of Equus quagga, 1248 nucleotides long. RefSeq lists it as uncharacterized. The record is from RefSeq and is a predicted model, not a curated record. Lineage: Eukaryota; Metazoa; Chordata; Mammalia; Perissodactyla; Equidae. The transcript is spliced from 3 exons.
GAAUGUCCUGAUGGCUGUUGAGAGAGCCAGGCCGGUGGGAAAAAGAGAAAGAAGGCUGACCAUCACACAUCAGACUGGUAGAUGGAUGAGACGAUGGGUUAAGUCCUCUCCGACCCAGAGACUCCAUAGAAUGACUACAAACUCCACAAGAAAAAGGACUGCUUCGGUCUUGGCUACGCUAGAAAUCCUGACCCCUGGCACAAGAUUGGGUGAAGAAGGGAUGGAAGAGAAGUACAGAGUUAAUUUCUUGUCCUUGAGGAUCAAAAAGCACACGUACCAUUGCCCCAUGCCUGAGGCGUCAGCCCAGGUUGAACUCCCUUCCACAGUGGUGCUGGCGGUCCCAUCAUUUCCCAGAUGUUCAACCUCAGAGAGUCAGCAGGCGGUCAGGUACCAUAGCUAAUAGAACCCGUAGUAAUGGAAACUCCAAAAGAAUACCGGUGUGGACCGUGAGUGAUCUCAGAAGACAUCUUUCACUAUUUCCUGAUUCUGGAAUUCUAGUCACUCCCCCAUUCCCAACAAACUAUUGAUUCCACACUCUCCUCCAAUUCUUGCCACUGUAGAAGCCCCGCCCCCUUCUGCUCUUUGCUUUUUGAGCCACAAAAGGACAUGCCAGGUGGCUCUCUGCCCACAGCUCAGAGGAGGGAACGAGGACCCAGGGCUCUGGCUUGAGGAAUGGGAGAGUCAUUUGCUCUUCUUCGAGGCUCUUCUUCUUAAGGAUCUCCUGCAUCCUGCACUGAGACAUUUGCCAUAGCAGAGGAAGCAAUGAGACCUCAAGUCCCAAAAUGUGGGUUGCAGUGCCAGCUGUGUGACUUGGACCAUGUACCAGCUGUGUGACUUGGGAGGUUAAGUCACUUCACCUCUCUAAUUCUCAGUUUCCUGGUCUAUAAAAUGAAGAUGAUAAUAUCCCACAUCUCUCAUGCACUGUUGUGAAGGAGUUUUAAAAUGCAUAUACUUCGGCCAACAAUUCCGCUUAUAGAAAUGUACCCAAGGAAAUACCCGGACAAGUACGCAAAAUGAGUAAGUACAGAGAUGUUCCUGAGACAUUGCUUACAAUACUGAAAAAAUUGAAGCAGUCUAAUGUCUGUCCAUAUGGAAUUUAAGUAAUUAUAACAUAUCCACAGUUGGGAUAAGUGUAGGCAUUUAAAAUAAUACAGUACAUCUCCAUUUACUGUUAGCAAUUUAUCUUACAGGUGAUAUGAUUAGAUAUGCAAAGAAUAAGUUGGGUAGGCUAUCCAAGACCCUAAGUAU